RNAcentral lists this transfer RNA (65 nucleotides) under Staphylococcus sp. Its description in RNAcentral is "tRNA-Glu". It matches the Rfam family "tRNA", at positions 6 to 65 of the family's 71-position model. Rfam says of the family: Transfer RNA (tRNA) molecules are approximately 80 nucleotides in length. Their secondary structure includes four short double-helical elements and three loops (D, anti-codon, and T loops). The record is from RNAcentral. Lineage: Bacteria; Bacillati; Bacillota; Bacilli; Caryophanales; Staphylococcaceae.
CUUGGUCAAGCGGUUAAGACACCGCCCUUUCACGGCGGUAACACGGGUUCGAGUCCCGUAGCGUA